Manis javanica (Malayan pangolin) is the source of this 1329-nucleotide long non-coding RNA. RefSeq lists it as uncharacterized. Lineage: Eukaryota; Metazoa; Chordata; Mammalia; Pholidota; Manidae. The record is from RefSeq and is a predicted model, not a curated record.
CUGAGGAUAGAGACUGGGAUGGCCAUGGGGGCAGAGAGGCCCAGAGGCAGAGACCAGCCUGCUGCAUGCAGACUCGCUCUGAGUGGACAGGAUUCUAAAUGAUUGACCUGCCACCGUGGGAAUCAAGUUGCGAGUAACCCUUGCACCCCAAGAACGUUCCACUGUCACUCCUCAGUCUCACUGAAUCCAUAGCAAAUGUGCCCGGGGCUGAAACCCAUUGGCAAGACUCAUAGCCCCCCACCUUCUGACUUGAGGGAGAGCAGUCUACAAGAAGAACUGGACUUGGAAGCUGCUGGGGAAAUAGCAUUCAAAGCAGAGAGAAGAGUGUGUGCAAACAUGACCUGGAGAGGCUGGGUAGGAAAAAGUCCUGAAACUCUCUUUAUUACCUAAGCCAGUCUUUAAGAUCAUGAUGCUUGGUCGAAGAUCAACAAGUCAAAUAAGCUUCAUAAACCCAGCGAGCAAGUACAGUGGGAGAGAAGGGGCGACCUGGGAGACGGCGAUCACCUGAAGAGUCUCAGUGCUUUCAAAGGUCACCUCACCGGCAAAUCCGGAGUUACCAGCAGAACAGGUGAAGUGACCCAGCGACCUUCUGUCAAUCUAAAAUGGCUGGGCUCCCAGGUAGCAAGGUCGGCACACCUGGGUCAUGUCUACUGUCCCUACGUCCUUCCCAUGCGCAAGGACACCAGUAAUGGUGUUUGCCUGCUGACCUUCAACACGCUGCUCCUUCGGCAAUAAAACCAGAAAUCGAUUUUUGAUUCCUGUGCUGUAAUUUAACACAACUUAAAAAAGAAUCCCCACUAAGGCUACUUUGAAAUUUUAACAAUUUAUGCCAGGCAAGAAGCCCAAAACAUCGAUUUCAAUCAUUUAAACAAACAAUAGAGCCUUUUAGGUAAGUAGACUUGGGUUUGAAAAGGAUAUUUAGCAACAUACAUUUUUGGGGAAGAAUGAAAUGCUUCUCACCUGCCAGAAGAGAAAGAAGAAACAAGAAAAAAACUCAGUCUCCAAACAGCCUUUGGUAUUCACCUUUGAACAUACUCUCUCCAAAAGUAAUAAUACCACAAGUUUACCUUCAUGCCAAAGGCUGGGUUGUGUCUAUUUCCUUAUGACUUUCUCCACAAUGACUCACACAGAAAAGUGGUGAGGGCAUUGGUUUCACCUCUCAAGUUCGUUUUCUUUUUAAUUAAUAGGAAGUGCAUGACAUGAUACAAAUAAAGUUUAUAAAAAAUGCUGAAGUAAUAUUUAUCGAUAUUUGUUGGAUGCUUUAUAAGCAAGGGUUGACUCUCCCAGGCCACCUGAUAAUCUGCCCUCUUUAAGGUUAGUUGCUUUGAA